RNAcentral lists this ribosomal RNA (832 nucleotides) under uncultured bacterium. RNAcentral's name for it is "bacterial SSU rRNA". It matches the Rfam family "Bacterial small subunit ribosomal RNA", at positions 62 to 861 of the family's 1533-position model. The record is from RNAcentral.
UCGAGCGAGCGGAACUAAAGAUUUACUUCGGUAAUGACGUUAGGAAAGCGAGCGGCGGAUGGGUGAGUAACACGUGGGGAACCUGCCCCAUAGUCUGGGAUACCACUUGGAAACAGGUGCUAAUACCGGAUAAGAAAGCAGAUCGCAUGAUCAGCUUUUAAAAGGCGGCGUAAGCUGUCGCUAUGGGAUGGCCCCGCGGUGCAUUAGCUAGUUGGUAAGGUAAAGGCUUACCAAGGCGAUGAUGCAUAGCCGAGUUGAGAGACUGAUCGGCCACAUUGGGACUGAGACACGGCCCAAACUCCUACGGGAGGCAGCAGUAGGGAAUCUUCCACAAUGGACGCAAGUCUGAUGGAGCAACGCCGCGUGAGUGAAGAAGGUUUUCGGAUCGUAAAGCUCUGUUGUUGGUGAAGAAGGAUAGAGGUAGUAACUGGCCUUUAUUUGACGGUAAUCAACCAGAAAGUCACGGCUAACUACGUGCCAGCAGCCGCGGUAAUACGUAGGUGGCAAGCGUUGUCCGGAUUUAUUGGGCGUAAAGCGAGCGCAGGCGGAAGAAUAAGUCUGAUGUGAAAGCCCUCGGCUUAACCGAGGAACUGCAUCGGAAACUGUUUUUCUUGAGUGCGGAAGAGGAGAGUGGAACUCCAUGUGUAGCGGUGGAAUGCAUAGAUAUAUGGAAGAACACCAGUGGCGAAGGCGGCUCUCUGGUCUGCAACUGACGCUGAGGCUCGAAAGCAUGGGUAGUGAACAGGAUCAGAUACCCUGGUAGUCCAUGCCGUANACGAUGAGUGCUAAGUGUUGGGAGGUUUCCGCCUCUCAGUGCUGCAGCUAACGCAUU